UUCAACUGUGAAGGGGGCAACUGACAACCUGCUUUCAAGAAACUUUUUUCUGCUGAGAGCUUUUCCUUUUCACGUAAUGAGUUCUACUCCACUGACUCUUCAAUGUCUGCAUGCCUAUUUCUUUGGUGGUGAGAAAAGAACCUGAACCUAACUGAGCUAGGGAACAAAAAAUCCUGCAUCAUUGUUUUAUAACAUUCUUCUUUCUUUGGACCCAGGCUCACUGCUGGUAUUAGAAAGUUCUCAAGGCUACCUUAUCCUUCUUGGUUCCUCUCUCGUCUCCUUCUCCCCAGCUCAACCAGGUGUGGUGGCUCAUGCACUUUGGGAGGCCAAGGCGGGCAGAUCACUGGAGGUCACGUUUGAGACCAGCCUGGCCAACAUGGUGAAACCCCAUCUCUACCAAAAAUACAAAAAUUAGCCAGGCGUGGUGGCCCGUGCCUGUAAUCCCAGCUACUUGGGAGGCUGAGGCAUGAGAAUCACUUGAACAUGGGAGGUGGAGGUUGCAGUGAGCGGAGAUCUGCCACUGCGCUCCAGCCUGGGCAACAGAGCGAGAUUCCAACUCAAAAAAAAAAAAAAAAGAAGAAGAAGAAGAAGACUGUGAAUUAACUCAUAAUUCCAGUGCUCUGAAUCUUUG
Molecule: long non-coding RNA, 631 nt
Filed under: Homo sapiens (human)
Lineage: Eukaryota; Metazoa; Chordata; Mammalia; Primates; Hominidae
Description: HSALNT0250589
Source: RNAcentral